This is a long non-coding RNA of Bubalus bubalis (water buffalo), 1660 nucleotides long. RefSeq lists it as uncharacterized. The transcript has 5 exons. The record is from RefSeq and is a predicted model, not a curated record. NCBI's taxonomy places the organism in Eukaryota, Metazoa, Chordata, Mammalia, Artiodactyla, Bovidae.
CCAAUGCUGUCCCGCCCCCACACACACACUGUGAGGCAGUUGGUUCCAAGGUCUCCAAGCGCCUUGCACAAGAGAUGCAUGUGGUUCGUGGGGGUGAGAGCAUCUGGGUUCUCACUGGUGUGGGAUCUUUUAGGCAUCUCUCUGCUCAACAGUGAUAAACAAUAACAAUUAUUAUUGGCAUGAAGAGUCACAUCACGGCUAGGUAACGAAUGUACCAAGAUAAGAAGUCAAGCUGUAAUUUCAGUCCUGCUAUCUUUCCAAAGAACAUGCAGCCAAGAUAACCUUACCAUGCAGUACGAUAGCCUCCUGCAAAAGCUGGGGCAGGGAGUGUUCUCACUGGGGAGGCCUCCUUUGCUCACAGGAGGUGCAAAAACAGGCAGUAAGAAGACCUACUUCAAGUCCAGGCUCCACUAACAACCAGAUUCAAAAAGAGAAUUCAUCGCUUUCAAACUACUGGUUCAGGGCGCCUGCUUCCCUCCCAAGACCAAAUGGAGCGGCAAGCCACAUACUUCAGAGUCUGACAUGAAGUUACUGGAAGAUGAUCAUCAUUCCAUCUGAGAAAGAUGACUGAACAAGGUAUCUAAGGGAGUCAUUGAAGGUAUGGACCUAAUGCUUACAACUUGGAGGCGCCAGAAAGAAAGUACAGAAGAGGCAGCGGUCAGCCCCCACUGACCCCAAGGACUCCAGCCAUUCACCCAAUAAGUGUUGAAGGACACGUGGCAAAUAUCUUGGAUUUUUCUCUGUUCCGUGAGAAGGGUGAUCUCCCCCAAAUUAAGACCUGAAAAUGGAGCAGCAGCUGUAGAUGCUUUUGCAGCAUCCAGAUUACGAUCUUAGAGCUCUUCCCAAAGAAACCUCUGUAGCUCUGAGGAAACUCCACGCUUGGGGCAACCAAAGGAAGUGCCUUUGCAACCGCACAACAUGCAAUGGAACCACAGAAACGAAAAAAAAAAAGCCACUUCCGGUAUAUUUUCUGAAGCAUUUCGCUUAAAAGGAGAUCUAGAAAGAAACAGCAGGAAAAACACAGAGCAAAACAGCUCCUUGACAACAGAGGAGAAUGUUCAGGGCUGCAGGGGUCAUUUGCAUUGACUUCAUACAUCUCUCCAUUAUCCUGAUAAUAAAGGACAUAAUUUCAGCAUUUUCUAAGAGAGCAAAAAUGCAUUCCUCCUUUCUCCAGCCAACAGUUUUCUGAAGUAAUUCCACGGUGGGCUCACAGGACACCCCCACCCCCUUCCCUGCCCUCGACCUGCUUCCUAGGGAUGGAUUAGAGGCCCCAGCAACUGCAUAGUUUUACGUUUCUCUGAACCACAAAAAAAAUUAAAAGGAUCCCAGGUGGAAUAAACUUGUUCAGCAAAGAACCACGUAAAAGUGAAAUCGCUUCUAGAGAGCUCUCUCAGAGCUUAAUGAAUGGGACUCCAUUUCUCAAUCGAAAAUUCUGAUCAAAUGGGAAGCCUUUCAGAGGUUCCUGCUGAAAACCCACUCUGCUGGCCUUGCAACCAGGAGCUGGAGUGGAGUAUUGGGGAGCAGAGGAAGCUAUGUUAGACAGUGGAAUAGUGGAACUGAGAAAAUACUGGAAUAUGAGCCACAGAGGGAGAGUAAAGCACAGCUCAACCUACAGGAAUUGCUGAUAUGAGUUGGGCUUCACAUGGUAAAGAAUCCGCCU